GGGGGGAGCAAGCGUUGUUCGGAUUUACUGGGCGUAAAGGGCGCGUAGGCGGCCAGCACAAGUCAGUUGUGAAAUCUCCGAGCUUAACUCGGAAAGGUCAACUGAUACUGUGCGGCUAGAGUGCAGAAGGGGCAACUGGAAUUCUCGGUGUAGCGGUGAAAUGCGUAGAUAUCGAGAGGAACACCUGCGGCGAAGGCGGGUUGCUGGGCUGACACUGACGCUGAGGCGCGAAAGCUAGGGGAGCGAACGGGAUUAGAUACCCCGGUAGUCCUAGCCUUAAACGAUGAAUGCUUGGUGUCUGGGGUUAUAAAGUCCCCGGGUGCCGUCGCUAACGCUUUAAGCAUUCCGCCUGGGGAGUACGGUCGCAAGACUG
Molecule: ribosomal RNA, 373 nt
Filed under: uncultured bacterium
Lineage: Bacteria
Description: bacterial SSU rRNA
Rfam family: Bacterial small subunit ribosomal RNA
Source: RNAcentral